GGAAGCACCAAAUCAUGCUUUGAUGGCUAAACUUCUAGUGUUUCACUCCUUUGAACUGAAAAAUCCACUAGUCACACCACCUUUCCAGCAUGAAUUAAAAGGGAGAGAUAUAAGUGCCAGAAGAUCACCAGUUUAUCUCAGCAAACCAAUGUGGGCACAAAAUGGAUCAAAAUAAUUGUGAUAAAGAAUACAAUUCUCUUUCAUAUCAACAUAUCAACUGAUGGUUGUUAUGGAAAACCAGAGAAAGAACAAUUUUUAUAGUGAUUGUCAUUAUUUUGAAU
Molecule: long non-coding RNA, 281 nt
Filed under: Phasianus colchicus (ring-necked pheasant)
Lineage: Eukaryota; Metazoa; Chordata; Aves; Galliformes; Phasianidae
Description: lncRNA (ENSPCLG00000000862.1)
Source: RNAcentral